This 227-nucleotide ribosomal RNA is filed under the name uncultured Lactobacillus sp. RNAcentral describes it as "partial 16S ribosomal RNA". It matches the Rfam family "Bacterial small subunit ribosomal RNA", at positions 138 to 355 of the family's 1533-position model. Lineage: Bacteria; Bacillati; Bacillota; Bacilli; Lactobacillales; Lactobacillaceae. The record is from RNAcentral.
CGGGAGUAACAACCUCGGAAACAGAUGCUAAUAACCGGAUAACAACAGAUGAUGCCUAUCAACUGUUUAAAAGAUGGUUCUGCUAUCACUCUUGGAUGGACCUGCGGUGCAUUAGCUAGUUGGUAGGGUAACGGCCUACCAAGGCGAUGAUGCAUAGCCGAGUUGAGAGACUGAUCGGCCACAUUGGGACUGAGACACGGCCCAAACUCCUACGGGAGGCAGCAGUA